UUAUCGAGUGUCAUGUCAUCGCU
Molecule: non-coding RNA, 23 nt
Filed under: Arabidopsis thaliana (thale cress)
Lineage: Eukaryota; Viridiplantae; Streptophyta; Magnoliopsida; Brassicales; Brassicaceae
Source: RNAcentral